Molecule: long non-coding RNA, 993 nt
Organism: Syzygium oleosum
Lineage: Eukaryota; Viridiplantae; Streptophyta; Magnoliopsida; Myrtales; Myrtaceae
Exons: 2
Source: RefSeq, a predicted model, not a curated record
GUUGUCACUGUCCUAUCGAAGUUCACUUUGUCAUAAUCGCUGCAUAAGCACUCGGAACUACUCAACGAAUAUCUAUAAAAGAGCCCAAACCAGCAGUUAUGGAUGAAAACUCCCGAAACACACCUCACGCUCUGCUUCAAUUCACAUGUUCCUUGUGGGCCUGACCGAGGUGCAAUGACCAUCGGCGCGACGAAUAUCUUGCUGGAAGAACCGUGAAGUUCUUUAUGCUUCGCUAUUCUGGUGGGCGGUGAACCAUUUUUGUCAGAUUCCAGUUCAAUGACAGCAUCAUGAUUAGGAAAAACAGUACAAUGAUUGAUGGGAUUGCCUCAGGACUACUUGGUCCUGAGGUUGAUGAGGUAGCUAGAGCACAGGCCAAGAAAGGCGCACUUCUUGGGUACUAAGCUUGUAAAUUUGCUAUGAGUUAUGGUUUUCAUUUUCUUUGGGCUGAUUCGAGAUGGGUAUUGAGUUAGAUCAUCAAUGAAGCAUCGCUCUCUGGAAUUCAAUCCUGUAUUGGGUAUUUUAGAGCAGGACGUAUUGAUGAAGUUCCAGAGUGGCACUCGGAUCCGAGACGCGGGAGAAUUGGCUUGAACUCCUCGGUCAUCACUUUUAGUCUGAAGAGUUGCGUGGAGUUGAACCAUUCAGAAUUAGGGGGAGGAGUUCGGUGGAUGCUUUCAGGUUUGGUCUCGUUGCAGUUGUAUUAGGGGGGUUCAGCUCUUACAAAUUUGUACUCAACACGGGGGACAUUGAGCAUGCAUCCAAGUUGUUUGACUAAAUGACUGUUAGAGAUGUUGCAAAUACCUCGAUUGUUACGGGGCUUACUAUUAUAUUUUCUGGCAGAAGGUCUCACAAAAUCUUACAGGAAGAAUGAGACAAAACCAAAUCUGAGUCACUCAAGUGAGUUUAUUGCAAGCAACAGCAGAGUUGGGAGUACCCGGGAUUGGUGCCUCCGUUCAUGAUCUUGCAUUUAAAAGAGGAAUCUGUUGUUCUGAUGAA